CUGCAAUGCUAACGCUAGCUGCAAUGCUAACACUAACUGAAGUGCUAAUGCUAGCCGGAAUGCUAGCGCUAGCAGCAAUGCUAAGGCUAGUAACAGUCUAACAGUAGCCUUACAUAAGUGGCAAUACUUCAGUUAAUUAGUUUGAAUUGUAAAAUGACUGCUGUAUCAGUUGGUGUGCUAUAUUACUCUAUAAUUACCCUGCUGACUAGAAGUUCAGUGUAUCAUGUCGUGUGGGCUUUGUAUUUCUGUUAGUCUGAUAACACUGUACAGACAACUAACGUAUUAUUUCUCGUUUCUUUCAGGAACCUGACUGACACUGUGCUUUGCCUGAGUGUGUAGAAGAAGAAGAACAAGGACCAGAUCUCCAGUCUUCUCUCUCACAUCCCAACCCCCCAACCCCUCUAUCCUCUGUCCUGCUCCACCUAUUGUCUCUGCCUUCUUUCCAUCUGUAUUUCACUCUGUGGUUUGUGAGAAAUUUUGCCAAACCAACAAUCCUUUUGCGGUUUGAUUUAAAGCCGUGUCUCUCCUGCUCUGUCUGUUCUCUCUGCUAAAUUUUCUCUCUACCUGUUUUUCACUCUUGGCUUGCUGCUGAAAAACGCCAAGCCAACAAAGCAAUAAAGAGUGCAUAUUUUGCCUCAACCUAUGAACAAACUGAACAAACAAAGAAAAAUCUGCGGUUUGAUUUAAAGCCGUGUCUCUCCUGCUCUGUCUGUUCUCACUGCUAAAUUUUCUCUCUACCUGUUUUUCACUCUUGGCUUGCUGCUGAAAAACGCCAAGCCAUUAAAGCAAUAAAGAGUGCAUAUAUUGCCUCUACCUGAGAACAAACUGAACAAACAAAGAAAACUAAUUCACGGUUUGAUUGUGAUUUCCCAGCCGUGUCUCUCCUGCUCUGCCUGUUCUCUCUUCUAAAUUUUCUCUCUACCUGUUUUUCACUCUUGGCUUGCUGCUGAAAAAUGCCAAGCCAAUAAAGAGAGUGCAUAAUAUUCUCUCAACUGAAGAACAAACUGUCAAACGAAAGACAACUGUUUAAGACAAAUAAAAACUGAAAUAUAAAAACAAA
Molecule: long non-coding RNA, 1060 nt
Organism: Maylandia zebra (zebra mbuna)
Lineage: Eukaryota; Metazoa; Chordata; Actinopteri; Cichliformes; Cichlidae
Source: RefSeq, a predicted model, not a curated record